RNAcentral lists this ribosomal RNA (104 nucleotides) under Meriones unguiculatus (Mongolian gerbil). Lineage: Eukaryota; Metazoa; Chordata; Mammalia; Rodentia; Muridae. The record is from RNAcentral.
GUCUACAGUAAUAUCACCCUGAAUGCACCUGAUCUCAUCUGAUCUUGGAAGCAAAGCAGGCUGAGUGAGGUAACUCAGACCCAGAAAGACAUACAUGGUAUGUA